CCUACGGGUGGCAGCAGUGAGGAAUAUUGGUCAAUGGGCGCGAGCCUGAACCAGCCAAGUCGCGUGAGGGAAGACGGUCCUAUGGAUUGUAAACCUCUUUUGUCGGGGAGCAAAAGACGCCACGCGUGGCGUUCCGAGAGUACCCGACGAACAAGCAUCGGCAAACCCCGUGCCAGCAGCCGCGGUAAUACGGAGGAUGCGAGCGUUAUCCGGAUUUAUUGGGUUUAAAGGGUGCGCAGGCGGAAGAUCAAGUCAGCGGUAAAAUUGAGGGGCUCAACCUCUUCGGGCCGUUGAAACUGGUUGUCUUGAGUGAGCGAGAAGUAGGCGGAAUGCGUGGUGUAGCGGUGAAAUGCAUAGAUAUCACGCAGAACUCCGAUUGCGAAGGCAGCAUACCGGCGCUCAACUGACGCUCAUGCACGAAAGUGUGGGUAUCGAACAGGAUUAGAUACCCGGGUAGUC
RNAcentral lists this ribosomal RNA (459 nucleotides) under uncultured bacterium. RNAcentral's name for it is "partial 16S ribosomal RNA". It matches the Rfam family "Bacterial small subunit ribosomal RNA", at positions 338 to 795 of the family's 1533-position model. The record is from RNAcentral.